ACAGCUGCAGAAGAUUAUUGCCUCUCUCAGUUCACGUCUGGACGUCGGAAAUGGUAGUAGGGUACAGCUUUCAAGGGUAAGUGUGAGAAGUUGCUCUUUGUGUUAAGCUUUCGAAAGAAGGCGUUUGUUGGCGCUCUGUAUCCGUCUUCAGUGAGGUGAUGCAAAGGACCUGAUUGACAAACAGCUGGUCUACCAAAAUAGGCCUGUAGAUUAAAAAAUGGAUGGACAUUUUUGGAGAGCUGGAAAUGAAUUCCUACAAGUCUCAAAGCUUGCUCUUGCUAACUACCCUUUGACGAGCCCCAAGGCUGGUGAAUAACCUGGUGCUGCUGCCUGCCAAGCUCAUUGUGCUCACUGCUUUCUCACCAACCACAGAGUUCUAGGUACUCCUGUCUUGCCUUUAAAGAAACCCCAUGGAUGGGGAUGGAGAUUUGUACAAGACCUCAGAGCCGUAAGUAAAAUUGUGAUACUGAAGUUUCCAAUGGUACCAAGCCUAAUUACUUUGUUGGCAAAUACACCAACCAAAUCCAGAUGGUUUACAGUUGUGGAUGUAUGCUCUGCUUUCUUCAGCAUCCCAGUGGACAAAGUAAGUCAAUAUUUAUUUGCUUUUACUUGGAGAAAUCAACAGUCUUGUUGGACAAUAGUGCAUCAGGAAUUUACUGAGGCUCCCUUGUACUUUUCACAAAUUUAACAUUAGAAUUUAAAUUCUCUGCUGCAAUUCCUCAGAAAUUCUGCCUUGAUUCAAUAUGUAGAUGAUUUGCUUCCUUGUUACUUCUCUAUGGAGAACUCAGGAAUGGAUUCAACAUAUCUGUUAAAGUGGGGCUUAUAAAGGCUGUAAAGCCUCAAGAUAACAUUCAGUUCUCACAAGAGAUGGUUCAUUUUCUAGGUCAUGACUUCUCUUCAAAAAGAAUCUCUCUUCAGGAAGAAUAAAUGCCAUUCAAAUUAUCCUAGACCUGUAAGGAUUCCUUAGAUUUGUGGGAUAUUGUUAAGUCCUGUGUCUCAUAUGUUUCUUUAUUGGCUUCCCCACUCUAUGACCUAAAAACAGCACUUAGGAAUCUCUCCCUUGGGAAAUAAAACAGGAGGAUACCUUUACUGAACUCAAAUGGGCUUUAUAAAACCCUCCUGCAUUAGAGCUCCCCAGCUAUACUAGACCCUUCAUACUGUUCCUCUGUGAAUGGAACAAUUGGUACAAUUGCACAGGGAAUCCCAAACUUAAUUUCAAGCUACAGAGGGAUUCACUUUACUGAACAACUUAUAAAACAACCAGACAAGGUUAUUCAAACGUAAUGGCACUACCAUGUUCCUACCAUCCUCAAUCUUCAGGAAUGGUUGCAUGCACCAGUGGCAUUCUAAAAUUAAAAUUGAUAAAAUUAACUGAAACCACAGAUUACCUUGGCCUUGAAUGCUACCUUUAUAGCUUAUGUGAUAAUAAGAUCAACACCUUUUGGGAAACAUAAGUUGACACCUUAUGAAAUCAUUACUGGUUGACUGAUGCCCUUAAUGAUAGAAACUCAUGCUCUUGUAAACUCUGAUAUGACCCAAUACUGUAAGGACCUAGUGCUGUAUUAGAAGCCUAUUUCCAACAGGCCAAAGAGGCCUUCAGAGACCCUCCACCUGAUGAGGACUUCAGCCCAAUACACUGGAUGGUAUACCAGUGAUGGUAUUCAGGAAAAGACAGCAACAAAAAACUGCACUGGAACCUUGAUGGAAAGAGCCCCAUCAGGUUCCUUUAACCUCCCAGACAGCAGUCAGAUUACAGAAUGUUGAACCUUGAGUCCAUAUCUUUCAACUAAACAGGUCCCUUAGACUCUUGGACCCACAACUGACUUAACAUUAAGGAUACCGGUAAAAUUUUUUCCCCAGAAGCAAACAAUCAUAGGAUGUAGACAACUUUCCCAGGCCAAUGGAACAAGACCACUGGUGCCAAAAUUAACAUGAUUUUGUUACUGAUAAUUCUAUUAAGACUUUACUAAUGUUUAAUGCAAAUACCUGAAAGUAGACACUGUACCAAAAAAAAAUCAGUGACUAAUCAAAUAGGAAGUUGGAUAUGUACCUAGACUGAUGAAGAAGCUGACGUAUAAACAGAAAACUAUCUGCAGAUGAAACCACCAGUCUUGGUUCUUUUGUUCAUAAGAUAACAGUUCGUAAGAGAAAUCCAGGAAGCACUAGUCCUCUCAAUACACACAAUACUGGAUUCCUUUGUUUGUCAGGACAUUAAUUCUUCAUACUGGCACCUGUAAAGUAGAAAAUGCUUUUUUAUGUAACUCUAAAAACUAUAGGGAAAAAAAGCUUCAGGUGGGUAGGUGUAGCUCAGUGGUAGAGCACAUGCUUAGCAUGUACAAGGUUCAAUCCCCAGUACCUCCAUUAAAAAAAAAUAGGGAAGAGGAUAUAGCUCAGUGGUAGAGCACAUGCUUAACAUGCAUGAGGUCCUGGGUUCAGUCCCCAGUACCUCUGUAAAAAAAUAACUAGAGGAAUCUAUCGUAAAAUACAGAUAUAAUCAGAGAAUGAGGGCGACUUAAGCUACUGACAAUGUGGGGUGUGAACCUUCCCUCAUAGUAAACACAAUACAAGAAAUAAUAAAAAAUAAUACUCUUGUCUCCAAUGAACAAAGGAAGCUAUUAAAAGCUUUGGCUUUUGAGCUAGACACACCUGAGUUUAAUGCCUGGCUUGGGUACCAACUAGGUCUACAAUACUCAACAAGUGAUUUAACAUCUCCAAGCUGCAGUUUUCUAAGGGCUGUAGCAGCACCUCUUACACAGGGCUGUGGUGAGAAUUACACAAGUGUGGAAAAGGUAUUAGCCUAGUUCCUGGUACCUAGAAAAAGCUCGGUAGAUAUUUGUUGACUGAAUGAAUGUAAGCUAGUAAUCUUAAGACCUAAAGCAGGAUAGAGUCACAGGAGGAAGAACUCUCUGUAGGAGGUAAGAAUAUAUGUAAAGCACGAGGAGGAGGGAUACUAAUGGAGGGAAAAUAAAGCAGGGUGGUUAAGACAUGGGCUUUGGAGGCAGUCAGACCUGGAUUCAAAUAUCAGUCCUACCACUUGAGCAAGUCACCUAAUUCAAAACCUUGUAAACAGGAAAAAUUGAAGCAAAAACGGAAAACUUUUUGUUAUUGAAGUAAAAUAUGCAUGACAUAAAAUGUAUCAUUUUAAUCAUUUUUAAAUGUCUAGGUCUGUGUCAUUAAGUAUGUUCAUAUUGUACCACCAUCACUUCCUACCAUCUCCUGGAUACGUGUAUGUGAGUUACAUUGUUGGGGUUUUUUUCCUUUUUAAUUUGGAUUUGGAAAAAAUGAACAGAUAGUAUAGAAAGUUUCAUAUUACUCCCCGCCCCCCACCACACACACAGUUUCACUAUUAACAUUUUACACUAGUGUGGUACAUUUGUUAUAAUCAAUAAACUGAUAUUGAUACAUUAUUAUUACUGAAGCCAUAGAUUAUACAGAUUUUCUUAGUUUUUAACCUAAUGUCUUUGUUCCAGAAUCCCAUCCAAAAUACCACAUUGCAUUUAGUCGUCAUAUCUCCUUAGGCUUCUCUUGACUGUGACAGUUUCAUUCUUUCUGAUGCACAGAUUUGAGGCAUACUGGUCCAGUAUUGUGGGGGUGUUUUGAAUGUAACAUUUCAUGAUUAAAAAAUACUAAUCAAUUGUGAUAACAAUACCUGUUGGGCCUACUUGAAACACACACACACACACACACACACACCUCCAUCCUAUCACUUUUGUGGAAACCAGCAUCCUUUCUGACUCUAAUCACUGUGGAUGUCUCUCUGCCUCAUAUUGGGCCUCUGCUCCCCCAUCUUUUCUCCACACUGCAGCCAGAGAGGCUUUAAAAUAUAAAUCAGCUUCUAUUCUGUUCUCUAGCUGCUUCAGUGGCUUCUUACGGUAUAAACUAAAACACUACAAGAUCCUUCACGCUCUAGCUCCUGGCCACCUCGUCAGUGUCAUGACUUAUUCCUCUCCUCCUGGCUCAGUCUGCUCUGUCACACUGGCUUCCUUACAGACCCUGAAACACACCACGCCCCUGCCCUAGAGCCUUUGCACCUGUCCUCUGCCUGGAAAGUUCAUUCUCCAUGUAGCCAUGUUGGCCCACUCCUUCACUCCUUUCAAGUCUCUGCUCAGAUGUCACUUCCUAAAGAGAGGCCCCUAUCUUGCAUAGCAGCCUACCCCCUAAAGAGAGUUGUCCCCCUAAAGAAAGUUGUCCUCUUUCUCCUUAGCUUUGUUUUAACCCAGAAUAUUUAUCACUACCUGACAUUACAUCCUAUAUCUUAAUAUGUUUAUUGUCUGUUUCUUCCUUUAGAAGACAAGUUUCAUGAGGCCAAACACUUUAAUUUGUUAAUACUCAAUAACAUUGGUUAAAUUAAUUAGUGAAUAAAAGACUUUUAUUUUUAACAAGCAAGUUGGAUGUUAGGUAAGGUGGUUCACAGUCUGGGACUCCUGAACUCCUAGAUAUCUUUGAAGGUAGCAAUUUCCUGAAUUUUUAAAGAUCUGGCCAGGCUACAGGUUCUUAAAAAUGGGUAGUAUGAUUCAUAAAUGGAUAUAUCUCCAGAAUCUGGGAUAAUUCCUCAAAUACAUGGAGCACUCAGUAGAGAUAUCUGCAUUUUAAUUAACUAGAAUGGAAUUGGCAAUGUGGCAAAGUGUGGUGGCAGCUUAUCUGAAAGGCAGAGGAAUACUGAGAAAGAUUAUGUAUAACGAUGAUAAUCACAAAUGAAUAUCAUAUAAUGUCUGUUAAUAACUAGUGUUAUGGACCGAAUUGUGUCUCCACCCUUCCACUCCCUGCCCCCACCCCCAUGUAGCCCCCAAACCCAUUGUGACUGUAUUUGGAGACAUGGCCUCUAAGGAAGUCAUUAAGCUUAAAUGAGGUCAUAAUAGUAGGGCUCUAAUCUAAUAGGGUUGGUGUCCUUCCAAGAAGAGAAAGAGACUAUGCACAGAGAAAUGCCACGUAAGUACACAGUGAGAAGGCAAGCCAGAAAGAGAGGUCUCUCCAGAAACCAACCCCACCAGCAGGUUGAUCUUGGACUCCCAGCCUUCAGAACUGUGAACAAAUAAAUUUCUGUGGUUUAAGCCACCCAGUCUGAUUUCAGUCACCAUAAGCAGUAUCAUCUUAGAAUGUGAAAGACAAUGAGGAAGAUAAACACACACUCCUGUGUUUUAAACAUGGCUUCAGAUUCAUUGUUUUGUGUAUUAUAUGGAAAAAAAUCUAUGAAAUAAAAUUGUAUUUCAGUUUUAAAUAAUAGAUUGGUUCUCUUUUAUUCAAAUAAUGCUCAUAAUUUAAAAGUCCUGGAAAAAAUAAAUUCACAAUCAAAUCACAAUCAAAUUUUACAUGUGAAACCGUGGUAAUUUUGGUAGAUUUUUUUUAAGUGUUAUGGAACUGUAAAGGACUUAGUUUGCAGAAUUUUCAAUGAAAAUGAUACUUUGGCCAAACCAAGAUGACUCCCCACAGUAAUAACCUACAUACAGCCAUAUUCAGUGACUAAAUUGUGUUUAUGAUUUUCUCAAACAAUGGAGUUCAUUUUGACUAUUUAUCUAAACAAAAUGUGAUAAACAGAGCAAUAAGAAAGAAAAAUGUAACCCUGGAAUGCAUUUGCAGCCAAUGCAUAGAGCUGUGGCCUUAGCUUUCCGAAGAGCAUUUAAACACUGCCAUACACCGUCCAUCUGUGUGUCCUGCAGUGGAGUGACUACACGGUUCUGCCUUGAUCUCAGUGGAAGUCUGAGUCACAGGCACUAACAGUCACAAGAUUGUUAAUUCUUCAGAAGCACCAAAUAGACUUCAAAAAGGAAGGAUAAAAAUCUUAAGACUCUAGUAGUGUAUCCUAACUAAAAUUCCAUGAAGCACAUGAUUGUAGUUGUGACAAAGCAGUCUUUAUGAGCACAUGUUUACUGUUAAAAAAGUAGAAGCCCUGCCAGAAAGCCUUUAUAUAUGAUUUAUUAAAUUUAUUAAUGUUUGAACUUCUUAUUUUACACAUUUCAUAACAUUAUCAGUGCUAAUUUUAUGUGAUGCUACAUAGGACCAGGUUCUUUAAAAGAAUUGAUUCAAAUUAAAGUAUAUCUACCUCUUCUAAAAACAGUGUAGCAUCCAAAUGCCUGCAAUGUACUUUGAGGUAGGAAUCAUGUUUAAUUUAAUUUUGUUUUUCCUGUAACUG
Molecule: non-coding RNA, 6130 nt
Organism: Vicugna pacos (alpaca)
Lineage: Eukaryota; Metazoa; Chordata; Mammalia; Artiodactyla; Camelidae
Source: RefSeq, a predicted model, not a curated record